GACGAACGCUGGCGGCGUGCUUAACACAUGCAAGUCGAACGGUGAAGCGCCUUCCUUUUUGGUGGGUGUGGAUGAGUGGCGAACGGGUGAGUAACACGUGAGUAACCUGCCCCCUUCUUCUGGAUAACCGCAUGAAAGUGUGGCUAAUACGGGAUAUUCUGGGUCUGUCGCAUGAUGGGUCUGGGAAAGAUAUUGUUUCGGUGGGGGAUGGGCUCGCGGCCUAUCAGCUUGUUGGUGGGGUGGUGGCCUACCAAGGCGGUGACGAGUAGCCGGCCGGAGAGGGUGGACGGGCACACUGGGACGGAGACACGGCCCAGACUCCUACGGGAGGCAGCAGUGGGGAAUAUUGCACGAUGGGCGCAAGACUGAUGCAGCAUCGCCGCGUGAGGGAUGGAGGCCUGCGGGUUGUGAACCUCUUUCGCCAGUGAAGCAGGCCUGCCUCGUUUGUGGGCGGGUUGACGGUAGCUGGAGAAGAAGCGCCGGCUAACUACGUG
RNAcentral lists this ribosomal RNA (494 nucleotides) under uncultured bacterium. Its description in RNAcentral is "partial 16S ribosomal RNA". It matches the Rfam family "Bacterial small subunit ribosomal RNA", at positions 28 to 507 of the family's 1533-position model. The record is from RNAcentral.